AUUACCUGAGGUGACACACGCCAAAAUGCAAGUUUGGAGACGCACCCUGUGAGUGCCGGGGCUU
This 64-nucleotide transfer RNA is filed under the name Gehyra sp. MPH-2011. RNAcentral describes it as "tRNA-Cys". The record is from RNAcentral. Lineage: Eukaryota; Metazoa; Chordata; Lepidosauria; Squamata; Gekkonidae.